This is a long non-coding RNA of Mizuhopecten yessoensis (Yesso scallop), 480 nucleotides long. RefSeq lists it as uncharacterized. The record is from RefSeq and is a predicted model, not a curated record. The transcript is spliced from 3 exons. Lineage: Eukaryota; Metazoa; Mollusca; Bivalvia; Pectinida; Pectinidae.
GUGAGAUACUUUUCACAGCAUCCGCCAUUGUGUAUGCUGCCUGCUUCAUCACUGCUCGCUAAAUAGAUAUUUCGUUAGACAAUUCUGACGUUUUUUUUUAUCAAGUUUUGAUAUAUCAGGAUCAUGCAAGGAACAUUGUAUCCCUAGUUUCGGAGAAGCCAGUCUGGAGAGCUUUUGCUGUCAGAUUCUCCUGAGGGUAGGCUUGGGAGUAAGGAUACUCCAGCAUGGUUCCCUCCCCUUAGCCUAGAACAAGUGGAUAAGGAGGCUCGGGAAAGAGUUCGAACUAGACAAGGGGCUGAAAAUAAUGAAAAGGACGUUCUUGGAGAGUACAUCAUGCAGAGUGGAAAAUAUCGGGGGAAGAGGUUUCGCUGGCUGCUGGAAAAUGUCCCAGGGUAUAUUGGCUGGUUUAUAGGUGCCAUCAUCAAAGAUGAAGGGAAAGAGGAUAAAUCGGGAAAGCACCAACAGGCAAUUAAAAAUGCA